AGAGACUUUACUGAAAUGCGAUUAAGGGGUUUUGGGUGUGAGUGAAAUUGAGAGGGACGCGACUGUUGAGUCAUGAGAGACGCAAUGUUGAGAGAGACGGAAGCGGCUACGUUGAGAGGGAGAGAUUUCUCUGAGCUUGAGGGGGUUCAUGAGGUUGAGGACGAUGGCGAUGAAUCAUUUUCUUUUUUUUCCUUUUUUUUUAAUUUUUCUUUUAUUACUUAAUUUAAUUUUUUUUUAAUACAAAAACCAUAAAAAAUGUUUAUCUUGUUCUUAAAUCUUUUUAUUUUUUUAGCCCGAUUCAUAUAUUUAACAUAGUAUCUCAGUAGCAGAUAAUGAUGAGUGGCCUGGUGGA
RNAcentral lists this long non-coding RNA (352 nucleotides) under Lathyrus oleraceus (garden pea). RNAcentral's name for it is "Pisum sativum (pea) long non-coding RNA (PSAT_LNC024982)". Lineage: Eukaryota; Viridiplantae; Streptophyta; Magnoliopsida; Fabales; Fabaceae. The record is from RNAcentral.